Long non-coding RNA from Sapajus apella (tufted capuchin), 395 nucleotides. RefSeq lists it as uncharacterized. The record is from RefSeq and is a predicted model, not a curated record. Lineage: Eukaryota; Metazoa; Chordata; Mammalia; Primates; Cebidae. The transcript has 3 exons.
CUACCCAUAAGAGAAUUCAUACUGGAGAGAAUUCUUACAUAUGUGAAGAAUGUGGCAAAGCCUUUAACCAAACAUCAAACCUUAUUAUACAUAAGAAGACUCAUACUGGAGAGAAACCCUAUAAAUGUGAAGAAUUGUGGCAAAACUUUUAACCAAUCCUCAACCCUUACUACCCAUAAGAGAAUUCAUGCUGGAGAGAAACCCUACAAAUAUAAAGAAUGUGGAAAAGCUUUUAAGCAAUCCUCAGAACUUACUAUCCAUAAGAGAAUUCAUACUGGAGAGAAACCCUACAAAUGUGAAGAAUGUGGCAAAACUUUUAACCAGUACUCAAGCCUUUCUAGACAUGAGAAAAUUCAUACUGAAGAGAAACGUUACAAAUGUGACGUUAUAAUGUG